GGAAAUGAUGAGAAAAUCUGGAAUCUCGUUCGUCUGAACUGCUGUUGAGAAAAAAAAACAUCUGACAUCA
Small nucleolar RNA from Gambusia affinis (western mosquitofish), 70 nucleotides. Its record names the gene SNORD30. It matches the Rfam family "Small nucleolar RNA SNORD30". Rfam says of the family: U30 is a member of the C/D class of snoRNA which contain the C (UGAUGA) and D (CUGA) box motifs. U30 is encoded within the U22 snoRNA host gene (UHG) in mammals and is thought to act as a 2'-O-ribose methylation guide for ribosomal RNA. NCBI's taxonomy places the organism in Eukaryota, Metazoa, Chordata, Actinopteri, Cyprinodontiformes, Poeciliidae. The record is from Ensembl.